CUAUUUAUUCCUUCAUUUCUGAGUUGUGUUUUCCUGAUUCUUCAUGGUCCAUGUAGAUGUGUUGAUGUCUGUGCAACUGAAGGAACAAUCACCUCUUCCAGUAUUUAUAGACUGCUUUUUGCAGGGUGUUUUCAGGUCUGCAGGCCUGCCUCUGUGAGUACAGAUGGGUUUGUCUCCAGUGUGUGGGUACACCUGCCUGUGGACUGAGCUGAUCAGGGUUGAAGCUAGGUCACAGAGAUGCUUCAGGAGUUGAAGUUGGAACUGCAGUCAGCCAGCCUGUUACCCAAGAGACAAGCAGGUAAGGCUCCUCCAAAGUCCCUUAGUAGACAAUGCUGAUAGAGGAGCCAGAACAAAUGGGGCUGUGGCCAAGCCUAAAUAAAGAGAGUGUUAUCUCUAUGUGUGUAGCUAGAGCCACUGCAACUUGGGUGCAAGCCUGAUGUCUCAAAAUGGCCCUACUUGAUCUUGGACUCCACUGGUGUUUUGCAGUCUCCUUUCUGUAUCUCAAAGUCCCCACAAAGGUGUUUCUAUCCACUGAUGGUUGACAAAUUAUUGUUGUUAUGGGGGGAUAUGAGUGGAGGUUCUCCUAUUCUGCCAUCUUACUGAUGUCACUCCUGAAUGUAUUUUUAUGAUUUUCACUUACACAUGGUUUUUUGAAGAUGCUUUAUAAUAUUAAAAUAAUGUGUUCAAUUAAUGAAUAAAUGACACUAUAUAAUUCAUUGACUAUUAGGUCAUAUAUUAGAGAAGAUAUAGUAAGAAGUUAGUCUUAAAAUAUGUAUUACAUUUUCAGAAAAGUAUUCCAUUUGGGUUCCUAGAGAUUCUAGAAAAUUCCAUAAGUUGUUCUUAAUACUUGAUGGGAAGGCAUCAAUUAUUAACCUAUUGCAUUAUGUAUGAAAG
This 894-nucleotide long non-coding RNA is filed under the name Homo sapiens (human). Its description in RNAcentral is "HSALNT0252435". The record is from RNAcentral. Lineage: Eukaryota; Metazoa; Chordata; Mammalia; Primates; Hominidae.